CAUUGGAAGAUGAGACCAAUGUGUCUACAGU
Molecule: non-coding RNA, 31 nt
Filed under: Rattus norvegicus (Norway rat)
Lineage: Eukaryota; Metazoa; Chordata; Mammalia; Rodentia; Muridae
Source: RNAcentral